UGUGCAAAUGACCCCAGAGCAGUUUUUCCAGUUUAAAGACUCCAGCAUAUUGGAGGGGGUGCCUUCCAGAAGUCUGGUGACCAAAAGAGGUAGGGUGAGUACCUGGAAAGGACUGGUGUCCUAUAGAGCAGGAGUGGUUCCCCGAGGAGACUGGAGCCUGGCCAGCAAAUCAAUUCUCAAUAGUAACUUGGUGGAUUUACCUAGAUUACUUGGAAAUGGAUUAUUUCAUAAACAGAUUAUUUCAUGAACAGACACUCCCCAGAUACUCCCAGAAAUGCUUUAGGGACUCUUUAGCAGGGAUUGACAAUCUGCCAGCCUGAGUAGGUGGGGGCAGAAGUCAGUGGAGUGUAUUCAUGCUUUUUUUUUUUUUUCUUAAUUUUUAUUUAUUUAUUCAUGAUAGUCACACACAGAGAGAGAGAGAGAGAGGCAGAGACACAGGCAGAGGGAGAAGCAGGCUCCAUGCAGGGAGCCCGACGUGGGAUUCGAUCCUGGGUCUCUAGGAUCGCGCCCUGGGCCAAAGGCAGGCGCUAAACUGCUGCACCACUCAGGGAUCCCUGUAUUCAUGCUUUUAAUGUAACCUUUUAGCCACAGGUUGGGGAAAUUUGGGUUUUACUGUGUUUGGACUAUUUCACUUGUAUGUGUCAUCCUAGUAGAGCUCUGGUGCUUUACUAUAUGAGUUUUUCAUUGUUGCUAUACUAAGUCACUACAGAUUUAGUGGCUUAAACAGUUACAUAGGUUACAAGUCCAAUAUGGGUUUUAUUGAGUGAAGAUUGAGGGGUCAAUAGUGCUGUAUUCUUUCUGGAGACUGUCAGGGAGAGUCCCUUUCCUUAUCUUUUCCAUCGUCAUGAGGCCAACACAUUCCUUGAUUUGUAGCUCCUUCUUUCAUCUUCUGUGCCAGCAAUGUCAUCUCUCUCUCUGACCUCAGGGAAAAGUUCUCUGCUGUGAUUAGGUUGGGCCUACCUGGAUAAUAGAAUAAUCUCCCCAUCUCUAGAUUCCUAAACUUAAUCACAUCUACAAAAUGACUUCUGCCAUGUGAGGUAACUCAGUCACCAGUUCCAAGGAUUAGUAUGUGGACAUCUUUCUUGGGUGGGGGGGAAGGGGCAUUUUUCUACCCACCAUAUUUUUUUUUUUUAAGAUUUAUCUAUUUAUUCAUGAGAAACACACACAGAGAGAGAGAGAGAGAGAGGCAGGCGCAGACACAGGCAGUGGGAGAAGCAGGCUCCAUGCAGGGAGCCGAUGCGGGACUCGAUCCCCAGUCUCCAGGAUCACGCCCUGGGCUGCAGGCGUUGCUAAACCACUGCGCCACCGGGGCUGCCCCUCUACCCACCAUAUUUAUGAUUUACUAAAUAUAUCCUAUUCUAAUUUCAUUUUUGUAACAUCCUUGAAUGGCAGUAUUAUUCUUGUAAGGUAGAUAACUUUUCUGAAGCACUUGUUAAGAAUAUAGUUCCUAUCAGUUGUUACCAUCUUAACCCAGGGUUCAGUCUUAGCAUUACUCGCUAAUAAGGACAACCAGAUAUAAAAUGUCUCUUGGGUGUUACAAAGUGAAGGAUAUGGCAUUAUCUUUUUUUUAUUAUUAUUUUUUUAAUUUAUUUAUUUAUGAUAGUCACAGAGAGAGAGAGAAAGAGAGGCAGAGACACAGGCAGAGGGAGAAGCAGGCUCCAUGCACCGGGAGCCCGAUGUGGGAUUCGAUCCUGGGUCUCCAGGAUCGCGCCCUGGGCCAAAGGCAGGCGCCAAACCGCUGCGCCACUCAGGGAUCCCCCGGAUAUGGCAUUAUCUAUAAAAAAUUUUUAAACAACUUAAGAUAUUAACAUACCAUAGAAUUUGCCCUUCUAAAGUCCAAAGUUCAAUGAUUUUUGUAUAUUUAUAUAGCUAUGUGACCAUCACCACAAUCUAAUUUUGAAGCAUUUGUGUCAUUGCCAAAAGAAAUCUAAUACCCAUUAACAUCACUGCCAAUUUCCCCCCUCCUCAGCCCCUGGAAGCUAUUAAUCAAUUUUAUGGUUUUUGGGACAUCUGGAAGGCUCAGUGGUUGAGUGUCUGCCUUUGGUUCAGGGUGUGACCCUGGGAUCCGGGAUGGAGUCCCACAUCGGGCUUCCUGCAUGGAGCCUACUUCUCCCUCUGCCUAUGUUUCUGCCUCUCUCUCUCUCUGUGUCUCUCAUAAAUAAAUAAAUAAAUAAAAUAUUUAAAAAAAUUUUUAUGGUUUUUUAAAAAAGAUUUUAUUUAUUUAUUUGAGAGAGAGAGAGAGAAGGAAGGGGCAGAGGGAGAGAAUCUCAAGUAGACUCUGCUGAGCACAGAGCCCAACACGGUGCUCUAUUUCACUACCCCAAGAUCAUGACCUGAGCCUAAAUCAAGGGUUGGAUGCUCAAUGGAUGGAGCCACCCAGGCCACCCCUUUUUUUGUUUGCUUGUUUUUCAAGCCCCAACACAGGUUGAACUCCUAAUGCUGAGAUCAAGACUUGAGCUGCAAUCAAGAGUUGGAUGCUUAACCAAUUGAGCUACCCAAGUGUCCCUCAAUAUUAUGUUUUUCUAGAUUUACCUAUUCUAGACAUCUCAUGGAAAUGGAGUCAUACAUAUGUGGUCACUUACUUAGUUUUAACUUAGCAUAAUGUUUUUAAGGCUCAUCUAUGUUAUAAUAUGAAUUAGGACUUCAUUCCUUUUUUUGGCCAAACAAUAUUCCAUUGUGUGAAUAGACUACAUUUUAUUUAUCCAUUCAUCAGUUGCUGAACAUUUGAGUUGUUUUACUUUUUGGCUAUUAUGAACUUAUAAAGUAUUCUUGCAACAAUGUUCAAUGCAGAGCCUGGUGGACAGAAUAAUGGUCUCCCACCAAUGUCUAUAUCCUAAUCCCUGCCACCUGUAAUAUGUUACCUUACAUGGCAAAAGGGACCUUGUACGUGUGAGUAAGGUUAAGGACCUAGAGAUGGGCCCCAUGUAAUCACAUAGUCCUUAAAAGAAAGGAGGAUUUUCCCUCUGAGGUCAGAGAUUCAAGACACCCCUGGGUGGCUCAGUUGCUUGAGCAUCUGCCUUUGGCUCAGGUCAUGAUCCCAGAGUCCCAGCAUCGAGCUCUGCACUGGGCUGUCUGCUCAAUGGAGAGCCUGCUUCUCCCUUUUCCUCUGCUCCUCACCCUGCUUGUGCUGUCUCUCUCAAAUAAUCUUUUUUCUUUUAAAGAGAUGUGAGGACAGAAGAAAGUUCAGACAUGUGUGAUAUUGCUGUCAUUUGGGAUGGAGCAAGGAGGCCAUGAGCAAGGGAUGUGGGCAGUCUCUAGAAGGUGGGAAAGGCACAGGAGCAGAUUUUCCCCUGCAGCCUCCAGAACCUUCCCAACACCUCAAUUUUAGUCCGUUGAUUUUUGCUCUUAGACAAAGGGAACUGCCUUGUUUUUGGUAAUGCCCCCCUGCAUCCAGUGAGUAAUCAAUGUGGAAAGUCUAAAGGUCCUGCCCCCCAUCUUGAUCUAGGACAACCGUAAAGGGCCAUCUCAGCUCCAAAGUGCUGUAUGGGAUCACCUGAGGCCUCAACUUCCCUUUCUGCCUGAUCCUGCCUCCCUUAGUCCCUUCAAGGCACUGUUCCUGAGACCACUUUCCAGUAAAUCUCCUGCAUGCAAAUCUCUGCCUCUGAGUUUGUUUCCUGGGGAAUCCAACAUGAGACACUUGCACACAACAUCUUAUCCAAGGACGGGCAGCCAGCUGGGAACCAGCAAGAAAAAGAAUUUGGAAAAGGAAAAAGGUUAAGGGAGGACCUACUCUAAAUUCCAAAAUUGGUGAUGAAAUACUGGAGAGAACAUCAGCUGGGCAUUAGAAAACUUGGGUUCAAGUUCUAGCUUUGCCUUAAGGACUCUUGUCAAGACACCUGUAUCCCUGCCUCCGUUUUCUAAGAAGAGGGUGUUGGACUUACUCAUCUUCAAGAUUACCUCUGGCCCUACAGCUCCAGGUCUGUGGCCUGAAAGCCAGAGACAGGUUGGAUCUUCACCUUCAUCUCUCCCUAAUUUCCAGGCUCAGAACCGAGCCCCCUCCAGAAGCUCCCCAGGACUGAGGACAGGCAUGUCCUUCCUGAGUCAAAAUGGACUUCUGGGUUGCACAACUCUUGGCCUUUGGGACACUUAGUUCAAACUGUGAUAAUUUCUUAGAUGCUUGUCUAUCACCGUGCUUUCCAUAUGCACAAUUUUCUUCUUUGUUGAUAGUUAACUUUUUUAUGUUUAAAAAAAUAAAAUGUCAUGUAA
RNAcentral lists this long non-coding RNA (4206 nucleotides) under Canis lupus familiaris (dog). Its description in RNAcentral is "lncRNA (ENSCAFG00000054389.1)". The record is from RNAcentral. Lineage: Eukaryota; Metazoa; Chordata; Mammalia; Carnivora; Canidae.